RNAcentral lists this ribosomal RNA (255 nucleotides) under uncultured bacterium. Its description in RNAcentral is "partial 16S ribosomal RNA". It matches the Rfam family "Bacterial small subunit ribosomal RNA", at positions 524 to 776 of the family's 1533-position model. The record is from RNAcentral.
UACGUAGGGGGCAAGCGUUGUCCGGAUUUAUUGGGCGUAAAGAGCGUGUAGGCGGUUUGGUAGGUCCGCUGUGAAAACUCGAGGCUCAACCUCGAGACGCCGGUGGAAACCAUCAGACUAGAGUCCGGAAGAGGAGAGUGGAAUUCCUGGUGUAGCGGUGAAAUGCGCAGAUAUCAGGAAGAACACCCGUGGCUAAGGCGGCUCACUGGCCCGGUACUGACGCUGAGGUGCGAAAGCCGUGGGGGAGCAAACAGG